Molecule: RNA transcript, 2784 nt
Organism: Anguilla anguilla (European eel)
Lineage: Eukaryota; Metazoa; Chordata; Actinopteri; Anguilliformes; Anguillidae
Gene: larp7
Gene name: La ribonucleoprotein 7, transcriptional regulator
Exons: 13
Source: RefSeq, a predicted model, not a curated record
GUCAUCAGUAAGCGACAAAGGACAGGUGUCCGAGGAAUAUUCCUGAACUCGAAAAGUGCAACUUUCUCUUUGAUUGCAUUUUAUAGAGUCUUAUUUCUUGUACUGUCAAGAACAGAAUGUGGAAUAUGCUUUCUUGUUUGAAAUAAGUAGUUCUGUUGUAUUCUACGUGUAUUUAUUUUAGAAAAGCCCCUCCGACGUGAAGAAACCGAAUCUCUUGAGUUUCCUUAGUCCCUACGAAAGAUCUACGUUAAGCCCAAUGUGGGUUGAUACACAGUUCUGGCUUUCAAUGAAUCUAGCCAACUAGCUGCCAGGGCCAUCAGUCUGUCCGUUUGCUUCAAAUAACAAGGUGUGAACAUGAUUAACACCGAGAAGAAACCUACGGGAGGUGAUGCUUCUGCGAAGGAGGCCAGCGAAAAGAAGAAGGAGAGUGAGAAGAAGAAGAGGUCACGGGUGAAACAGCUGCUGGCAGAUGUGAAGAAGCAGGUGGAAUUCUGGUUUGGGGAUGUCAACCUCCACAAGGACAGGUUCCUGAGACAGCUUGUUGAGCAAUCAAGAGAUGGUUAUGUAGAUAUUUCUGUGUUAGCCACCUUCAAUCGAAUGAAAAAGAUGACGACUGAUGUCAAGUUGAUUGCAAGGGCCCUUAAAAACUCAAGUGUAGUCGAGGUGAACCUUGAGGGAACAAAAAUAAGACGACAGCAUCCACUAGGAGAGGAGCCAAAAAAUGUGGACGAGCGCACCGUCUACGUGGAACUGCUGCCCAAGAAUGUGACACACAGCUGGAUAGAGCGGGUGUUCGGCAAGUGGGGGACCGUAGUUUACAUCAGCGUCCCGAGAUACAAGUCCACUGGACAGCCAAAGGGAUUCGCGUUCAUCGAGUUUGAGACGGAGGAACAGGCGCAGAAAGCCACUGAGAUGCUGAAUAACCCUCCCGAAGAUGCUCCCCGGAAGCCGGGCAUCUUCCCCAAGACCAAGAAGAACAAGCCCGUUGCCCUCCCAGGCCCGGAGGACACCCCACUCGAAGAGAAGAAGAAGAAGAAGAGGAAGAAGUCUCGUGCUGGUCGGAAGGAGAGCACCACUCAGCCAGUGCCCGAGACCAAAGAGCAGGAAGCCGUGGCGGAGACAGAGCCCUCCGACAGGAAGAGGAAACGUGCAGCGGAGGGCCCGGAGUCUGAGGGCCAGGAUGCACCGAAGGACCCAGCCAAGCGGGAGAAGAAGAGGAGGCGGUCUCAGAGCGUAGAGGGGUCCAGGGCCGACACGCAGGGCGAGACGCCCGCCAAGAUGAAGAAGAUGGCCGAGGUAGAGGAGGACCCCAAGGAAAGCGAGGAGGCCGAAAAUGAGGUCAAAGUAGAUUCUGCUGAAGGUGAGAAGGAGAAAGAGGAAGAUGAAGAGGACGGGAAGAAGGAGGACUCUCUGUUGAAGGCCAAGAGGAAGAGGAAGAAGAAGCACAAGGAGCGACCCAAGAUUGGCGAAGAGGUCAUUCCCCUCCGCGUUCUUUCCAAGAAAGACUGGCUGGACUUGAAGCGGGAGUACGUAACGCUGCAGAAACGUAGCAUGGCCACUCUCAAGAAGUCCAUGGUCAGCCAGAAGGGUAAUGGAGAAAUGGAGCUUGGCUCCACCGUGGAGAGCAAACAGACUGCCGACAUGAACAAUAAGCAGGAGCGUGUGUGCGACAAAGAGGCGUCCCUCGGCCCCCAGUUUGAGAGCGGCGUCAUCGUGAAGAUCACGCACAGCCAGCCACUACCAGGAAGGAAGUGUAUCAAGGAUGCCCUGUCGGAGGUGUCUGCUGUCGUGUACGUAGACAUUCUGGAGGGGGAUGCGGAGGGGCACGUCCGUUUCAAAACCCCCGAAGAUGCCAAGGCAGUGAUCACGGCUCGCUCCGAGAUCCAGAGGAGGCACAGCUGGAGACUGGAGAUCCUCUCUGGUGAGAUGCAUGCUGGGAAUAGAACGUGGUGACAAUGAACAAAGAUACUGGCAGAAGAUUUUGGUGGACCGGCAAGCUAAACUUAAUCGUCCGAGGGACAAAAAAAGAGGCACAGAAAAGUUGAUUGCGAAGGCAGAGAAAAUAAUCACAGCCCAAGCAAAGGAGGCCAGUAAGCACAUCCGCUUCCUGGAAGACUGAACUUCCUGAACAUCGUCUCCAGCUGAUGACUCCCACACCGGUGUGCAGGACAGUUUGAGUCAGCGUCAUUUUUCUUCUUUUUUUUUUUUACUAUUUUCAGACAAUCUUGAAUAAUGUGACUGGGGCCUAACGUGGCAAGGUUUCUUGAAUAUGUUGCUUUUACAUUGACAUGACUCGUCUUGAGUUUGAUGCAUUUUUAUUUUGACCUUUGUGAUGAGAGUGGCGCAGACUUGUUACAUGCCAUUUGCUUUGUUUCCAGGUUUACAAGUGCGAUUUGCAGGAUGAUAUUAUAUAUUGAAUAGAAGGGAAUUCUGUAUAUUAAUACAGCAAGUACACCAUGGUUGAAAAAUUAUAACCAGAAUAUUACGGUAAAUUUGUACCUUAGAGUGUUUUGUAAAAGAGCACACAAAUUCACAUUGAACUGGUUUCAGCAAGGUUUUUAUGAGUUGAGUUUUAUUAAAAGCUUGUGUUUUAGUUUAAAUUUGUUUUCUAUGUUUGUGGAAACUAGAACAAGAUCAACAAAAUUUUGCCAUGUAUGAAGAUGUGUAUAUAAUGUAAAUAUGGCAGAAUGUGCCAUUCUUUUGUUUUUCUGGCCCCGGUUACCUCAUUUACAGAGUUCAUGAAUUUCAGUAUUUUUUGGUAAAUAAAACGCCGUGUUGAGUGAA